UAGGGUUGGAGUUAGGGUUAGUGUUGGACCUAGGGUUAGGGUUGGGCUUGGAGCUAGGAUUUUUCUGAGUGCAAUGAACCAACUCCCGAGUCUCUAGGACGUUCCUAAACAAAUUUGAUUUUUUCCCAUAGGAAUGCAUGGGUUAGGGUUAGGGUUAGGGUUGGAGCUAGGGUUAGGGUUAGGGUUAGGGUUGGAGUUAGGGUUAGUGUUGGAGCUAGGGUUAGGGUUGGGCUUGGAGCUAGGAUUUUUCUGAGUGCAAUGAACCAACUCCCGAGUCUCUAGGACGUUCCUAAAAAAUUUGAUUUUUUCCCAUAGGAAUGCAUGGGUUAGGGUUAGGGUUAGGGUUGGAGCUAGGGUUAGGGUUAGGGUUAGGGUUGGAGUUAAGGUUAGUGUUGGAGCUAGGGUUAGGGUUGGGCUUGGAGCUAGGAUUUUUCUGAGUGCAAUGAACCAACUCCCGAGUCUCUAGGACGUUCCUAAAAAAAAUUGAUUUUUUCCCAUAGGAAUGCAUGGGUUAGGGUUAUGGUUAGGGUUAGGGUUGGAGCUAGGGUUAGGGUUAGGGUUAGGGUUGGAGUUAGGGUUAGUGUUGGAGCUAGGGUUAGGGUUGGGCUUGGAGCUAGGAUUUUUCUGAGUGCAAUGAACCAACCCCCGAGUCUCUAGGACGUUCCUAAAAAAAUUUGAUUUUUUCCCAUAGGAAUGCAUGGGUUAGGGUUAUGGUUAGGGUUAGGGUUGGAGCUAGG
Molecule: long non-coding RNA, 737 nt
Filed under: Xyrichtys novacula (pearly razorfish)
Lineage: Eukaryota; Metazoa; Chordata; Actinopteri; Labriformes; Labridae
Source: RNAcentral